AGAUUGUGUUGAGGACAAUUCCUUAGCAUUCCCUUGUAUCUCUCCUAAGCUUCAUACAAAGAGUCACCAUUGUUUUGUUGGAAAUUUGCUAUCUUCAUCUUGAGUUU
Lactuca sativa (garden lettuce) is the source of this 107-nucleotide small nucleolar RNA. Lineage: Eukaryota; Viridiplantae; Streptophyta; Magnoliopsida; Asterales; Asteraceae. The record is from RefSeq and is a predicted model, not a curated record.